This 866-nucleotide ribosomal RNA is filed under the name uncultured bacterium. RNAcentral describes it as "bacterial SSU rRNA". It matches the Rfam family "Bacterial small subunit ribosomal RNA", at positions 8 to 916 of the family's 1533-position model. The record is from RNAcentral.
AGAGUUUGAUCAUGGCUCAGGAUGAACGCUGGCGGCGUGCCUAACACAUGCAAGUCGAACGGGAAUCUUCGGAUUCUAGUGGCGGACGGGUGGGUAACGCGUAAGAAUCUAACUUCAGGACGGGGACAACAGUUGGAAACGACUGCUAAUACCCGAUAUGCCGCAAGGUGAAACCUAAUUGGCCUGGAGAAGAGCUUGCGUCUGAUUAGCUAGUUGGUGGGGUAAGAGCCUACCAAGGCGACGAUCAGUAGCUGGUCUGAGAGGAUGAGCAGCCACACUGGGACUGAGACACGGCCCAGACUCCUACGGGAGGCAGCAGUGGGGAAUUUUCCGCAAUGGGCGAAAGCCUGACGGAGCAACGCCGCGUGAGGGAGGAAGGUCUUUGGAUUGUAAACCUCUUUUCUCAAGGAAGAAGUUCUGACGGUACUUGAGGAAUCAGCCUCGGCUAACUCCGUGCCAGCAGCCGCGGUAAUAAGGGGGAGGCAAGCGUUAUCCGGAAUUAUUGGGCGUAAAGCGUCCGCAGGUGGUCAGCCAAGUCUGCCGUCAAAUCAGGUUGCUUAACGACCUAAAGGCGGUGGAAACUGGCAGACUAGAGAGCAGUAGGGGUAGCAGGAAUUCCCAGUGUAGCGGUGAAAUGCGUAGAGAUUGGGAAGAACAUCGGUGGCGAAAGCGUGCUACUGGGCUGUAUCUGACACUCAGGGACGAAAGCUAGGGGAGCGAAAGGGAUUAGAUACCCCUGUAGUCCUAGCCGUAAACGAUGGAUACUAGGCGUGGCUUGUAUCGACCCGAGCCGUGCCGAAGCUAACGCGUUAGGUAUCCCGCCUGGGGAGUACGCACGCAAGUGUGAAACUCAAAUGAAUUGACGG